Molecule: regulatory RNA element, 117 nt
Rfam family: ylbH leader
About the family: This family is a putative regulatory RNA structure that is found upstream of the ylbH gene in B. subtilis and related low GC Gram-positive bacteria.
Source: Rfam
CAAAAAAAAUACCCGCAGGAUAUACUUCCUGCGGGUGCCUUAAGCCGUUAAGCUAAGGCAAUGGGAGAGGAGAAACCGGAGGAAGAACUUAUGGGGAAACGUAAGUCUUCUCCGUGG